AGAUUGAACGCUGGCGGCAUGCCUUACACAUGCAAGUCGAACGGCAGCACGGGAGCAAUCCUGGUGGCGAGUGGCGAACGGGUGAGUAAUAUAUCGGAACGUGCCCAGUCGUGGGGGAUAACGCAGCGAAAGCUGUGCUAAUACCGCAUACGAUCUCUGGAUGAAAGCGGGGGACUCGCAAGGGCCUCGCGCGAUUGGAGCGGCCGAUAUCAGAUUAGGUAGUUGGUGGGUAAGGCCCACAAGCGACGAUCUGUAGCUGGUCUGAGAGGACGACCAGCCACACUGGAACUGAGACACGGUCCAGACUCUACGGGAGGCAGCAGU
RNAcentral lists this ribosomal RNA (324 nucleotides) under uncultured soil bacterium. Its description in RNAcentral is "bacterial SSU rRNA". It matches the Rfam family "Bacterial small subunit ribosomal RNA", at positions 26 to 355 of the family's 1533-position model. The record is from RNAcentral.